This 273-nucleotide long non-coding RNA is filed under the name Gossypium raimondii (Peruvian cotton). RNAcentral describes it as "long non-coding RNA (GRAI_LNC002952)". Lineage: Eukaryota; Viridiplantae; Streptophyta; Magnoliopsida; Malvales; Malvaceae. The record is from RNAcentral.
GGGAAAAUGUGUAGUCUAAGUGUCGGGGGGGUGCACAUUGUUUUAUGUGUUUUAUUUUUUUGUUUUUAUGUUAGUUUGUGUGUUUGUUUUAUUUUUUUUUCCUUUUUUAAAAAAAAUUCAAAAAUUCCUAAAAUAUUUUUCGUUUUUAUUUUAUGAAAUUGCAUGGUGCUUGGAAUAUAAUUAGGUAAUAAGUUAUUAGUUGUACAUAUUGAAUAAGUACAUAGAAUUGUCAAACUUGUAAAUUUUGAAUGAUACUAGAUAAUUUUUUAUUCU